Molecule: ribosomal RNA, 253 nt
Filed under: uncultured bacterium
Lineage: Bacteria
Description: partial 16S ribosomal RNA
Rfam family: Bacterial small subunit ribosomal RNA
Source: RNAcentral
UACGUAGGGUGCGAGCGUUGUCCGGAAUUAUUAGGCGUAAAGAGCUCGUAGGCGGUCUGUCGCGUCUGCUGUGAAAACCCGAGGCUCAACCUCGGGCCUGCAGUGGGUACGGGCAGACUAGAGUGCGGUAGGGGAGAAUGGAAUUCCUGGUGUAGCGGUGGAAUGCGCAGAUAUCAGGAGGAACACCGAUGGCGAAGGCAGUUCUCUGGGCCGUAACUGACGCUGAGGAGCGAAAGCGUGGGGAGCGAACAGG